RNAcentral lists this long non-coding RNA (5946 nucleotides) under Sus scrofa (pig). RNAcentral describes it as "lncRNA (ENSSSCG00000060841.1)". The record is from RNAcentral. Lineage: Eukaryota; Metazoa; Chordata; Mammalia; Artiodactyla; Suidae.
CCCAAUACGUGAAUUUUGAUGGGUACACAAACAUUCACCCCAUAACAGAACUGCAUCUAAGACUAGAUUGCUAAGUGAAGGCAAGUCCAAUAUUUGGAUGGAAGAGUUUCUUAUUGCCUAAUGCUAAUUUAUAAAGCCAACACAGUAUGCCUCAGAAAUGUAUCUGUUCCUAGUGAAUUGUUUAUGUAAGAUACUAUUUGGUUUAAAACGGUUUAAAACGGCAAUGACCUGGGUCUUUGUCAAAUAUAAGUAACAUUUGUGUUAACUCUUUUGUAUCUACCUCUAACACAUGCUUAAUUAACAUAUUAACAUUUGCGUGCAUGGAUAUAUGUUUUGAUCUGACACUUACUUUUACUGCAGUUGGUAACAAAGUUAUGGAGGAGCCGCAAACACCCAUCUCAAUCACAAUUUUCAGCUUUUUCUACAAAAAGAACCCCUGAGUUGUACAGAAUCAUAUUGGUUCAGGAAAGUUUGCAGUCAUGUCCACAGGGGAGUAAAUAGCUUCUGUUCCAGCAUUGAAGCAUCCUGGAUAGUGUUACAGACAGACUGUUCAGUGAUACUCUCUGUGUUCCUUGAUAGAAUUACCCUGAUGGCCUAAUACUGUUCUAAGUUUACAUAACUGAUAGAUUGCUAUUCCUAUUUUGUAGAUGACUAAAUUAAAGGUCAAAGAUUCUAACAAACAGAAAGAGAUAGAGCAAGUGGUUUAUUCCAUAUGUUACGCUUUUUAAAACUGUACUCCUGUCUAAGUCUCAGUUCUGUAUCUGGGGACACAGGAAAUAGAAAACAAGUUCCAAUAAAUGACACAGCCAAGAGAGAACAGUUUUGCGGAAAAAAUACAUAUAUCCCUAAAUCUCAGAUGCCUAAGAGUGUCUUAUGUUUUUUAGGAGUCACAAUAAAGUCUUCUCUGUAUAAAUUCUAGUUGUUGGUUGAUAUUAAGUUAGAUAUGUACUAAGUACCGGAGCUCAUCUCAUAGAGUGGGUUCAAUCAUUCUCAGCUAAUCUUUUUUGUUUUUGUUGUAAAAUCUUGAGUUGUAAAAGCCUUUUCAGGUACUAUUAAGAAAGGCAAUAUAAGCAGCAUGGGGCUGCCUGAAAAUUAUAGUCAAGAUUAUGUUUCUUAGAGCUGAUAAGAAGCAAUUCUGACCAAACAAGACUUGACAAGUUUUAUUUCUAAUAAGGUGUACUGUACCACACAAUUGAAUCGCUUUUAACUAGGAAUCACUUGAUUUUAAAAUAAAAAUCACAUGUUUACAUUCCCCCCCACACAUAUACAAAAUUUACAAAAAAUAAUUGACUAUAUCACCUUGACUCCAUACAUCCCUGAUUAAAUGUUUUCUACCUUGUAAACAGCAUGAUUAACAAUCAAUUCCAUGAAAUAAUGAUUUCACUAAGACUGAAAAAUUGGCCAAGCUUUUUCCUCUCCUUCAUCUCUAACCAUUUCUUUUCUUCCUGGUAUCCACUGUCCACCUUCCUUGAAGAAGCACCUUCCAUAAUAUAUUGAGAACAGAGUGCCAUACUCUUGUGGAAGCAAAAUACAAGUUGGGGGCACUUACUGAGAACACUGGAGCUGAACCAGAGAGCUCCAUGGAUGCCGAUGACAGAGGAGGCCACUUCAGACAGAUGAAGAUACAUUAGUGCUUUUAAAUUUGUCCUUGGUAAUAUGCUCAUCUGAAACAAUGGUUGCAGAGACAAAUCAGAUGAAUGCUGCUUUCAGAACUAAACGAAUGCUUCACAAGAACAUCUCAGAGAGGAAUAUACUGAAGAGUCUGGAGAACAGUUUCAUGGAAAACAAAUUGAGUGUCCAGUGUAUUUGAAAAGAAAAAGAAAAAAAUGGGAGUAGAAAAAGAAAAAUAAGAAAAUUAUUUUGAGUAUUUUGUGGACACACCACAAAUUGUACCCACACAGUAUGUUUUAUGCAUGAGUUUUAUGUGUGGCAAAAAUUAUUGAUAGACAUUUUAUAUAGAAGAUGUAUUCCUAAAUUGGGAAUUGCUUUCCAAUAAUCCUCUGCAGUUCAGCGUUAUUCCUAUUUCAGAUAUAAUUUAUAUACACAAAGAUUACAUAAUUCUACCACUAAACACACAUGCCAAGAAAGAAUUUAGAAUAUAUAGAUUGGAUUUGAAAACAAACAAAAAAACCCACUAAUCCUCCAAAUGGAUUCUCUGAAUGGGUUUUAUUUCUCAUGUAUUUUGGUCCCUGACAGAUAGAUAUUUAGAUGCUUGGCUAUCCAUCUCCAUGUUACCAUCAAGACUUAGGCACUGGGGCUGCUGUGCUAUUUAUCCCACUGCAGCAUGACCCAGAAUGGGGAACAUGAUUAGUGAUGAUCCCUGGCAGAAGAACAGGUCUGGAUUAUGAAUGGUGAUGCAUUUUUCCUUUAACUUCUCUUCCAGGAAGGGGAUCUAGUACUAGGUCUUUAGGAAAACAAGAACUUCUCUAUAGAAAAGUCAAAUUCUCCUAGGUAACAGAGCUCAGAGAAGUGUUAUGUAAGGCUUGAAAUUUAAAGACAGACAAUAAGAAACUUCUUAGGGUUCUGUAGCUUUCCUCAACAGUGUGUUUUACUUUAAGGGUAUUUUGGGACCCUACAGAGAAUAAGGCACAGUCCCCUGGCAUCUUUAAUAGGGUUUGAGUUGAUGUUAACGCCUCUGGAGCCCAAGAAGGAAGGAGUUCAAACCAUUCAUGGCUUCUUGGCUUGCUUGGUAUGUCGGAAGAAGGAGCUUGUUCUGGAGACAAAGCCCUUCUGGGGAGCUUUUUACUACUUCAACAGUAGAAAGAGUUGGUAAAGCUGCUGCUUCUUAGGGUAACUUAUUCAGAGUUUCAUGCAGUUAUUGGUAUGCAACUAGGAGAUCGGAAGUAAUGGCCAGAAAUUGAAUCUUUCAUCCAGAGUUGGUACUCAUAUUUGUGAGUGUUGCCAUACUAACUUUUGUAAGGGUGUGAGAUAGUUUUUGGUAUCUGAUUUGACAAAGUGUAUUUACUUGGUAUUUCAGAUAAUUCUUAAAAAUAAGUCCUAUCUUCCUGGUGUUUUAAUCAUUGAGCAAGGUAAGUAAAUAUAGUUAUGUAUACAAGUACUCUAAAGAAACACAUAUAACGAAAAUAUCUUUGAUUCUAAUCUACAUCAUGUAAAGUCAGUGGAGUCUCAAAAUCCCCAAGCCUUCUUUCUCUCCUUGCUGCCUCACAUCUUCUUCUUGGUGAUUUUUAACUGUCUUUGGAUAUGUUACUGGCCAUUAGGUUGUCUGAUCAAUACUUGGUAUUUAGAAUUGCUCCUUCAGCCCUGAUACUUGUCUUUGUUGACAAUAGUCUAGUUCUUCUCAAAGCCUCAAUUGCUGCCACGUUCUUAUUGGAUUCCCAUUGAAAACUUGUUUCAGUUUUCUAUUAUUAGGUGACUUUUCUCUUGGAUCUUGAGGAAAUAUUCCCUAGAAGUAUGUCAGUGAAUAUUCCAGUGGUCUCACCCAUCUUUAGAGGUGAAAGCAUUAUGUCCCAUGGCGAAUUGUCUCAGGUUUCUAGCCAACUGCCUGAUGUUGUUCAGUGCCCUGAAAGCUGAUGGCAGGAGUUCUCUGCUAGAUGCUGUGGCCUGUUGUUCAUGCCCUCUUUGCUUAAAACCAGACCAGAGUUUCACUGUGAGAUUCAAAAAUUCUCACUGGGAGCUUACUGCCUUCCUGUUCAUUUAGGAUAAAUAGAGAUAAAUUGACCUUUUGGCCAGGUAAAGGAUAUAGAUGAGUGAUAUUUCAGUUUUGAUAACUAGUGGACUCUGUUAAAAAGCACAAAUAAGUAUGAGGAUAAUAUCCAUUUUAUCUUCUACUAGCUGAUUUUUUUUUCAGUUUUUCUAUGCUGAGCAAUUAGAAGUUUUACAGAUAUUAAGGACUCAUGUUUCUAUAUAGCAUGUCCUUAAUGUCAUUACUUUAUAAGACACUGUGUGCUUAACUUUAAUGUAGUUUAAAUUUCAUCUGUAAUAAUUCAAGAUUUAUCAAAUAAAGAAAAACUUCUUUAAGUACAAUUUUAAGUUACAUUUCGAGCCAUUUAUAUCCUGAUAUUAAAUUUAAUUAACUGAUGCAUCAGUUGGCUCUCCAAAUAUGUAGAUAAUUGAUGUACAAUAAUUAAGUAUCUAGGUUUCUGAUCAGCAGUAGCAGGCAGGGACUUUGAGGAAAUUUUAAGACACUCUUAUAAUAUCUUUACUUGAGGCUGCCUGCUGUUCUUUCUAAAAUGAAUACAUAAUAAUAAAUUAUAUCCAAAAUGGUAUAUUAAUUUCUUCAGGGAAAAAGAUUUUUAUUAUUAACUGGUUUAGGACCGUUUCUAUGAUGUCUUUGUGAUUCCCAUGAGGGCCAGCUUAAUACAGAGUAGGCAAAUGCAAGAUAUUGGAGUUGAUUUUAUUUUAUUAGAUCCUUACAGAGCUCAAGAAAAUUAAGACUGACUUUCAUGAUGUGUCACAUUAAGUUUGAAGUAUAAACUUUCAGUCUAGGUAACUUCUUAGAAUUAUCACCAAAAUAUUAUUUGGGAUAUAAACAUAAUACCUGAUAUUAUAGAGAGAAAUUAGAGUACUUUCUUUAUUUCAAUUCAUAUCAUAGCAACUUUAAUCACUCACAUCAUCAAUAGGUAACUGUUACCACAUUAAUUGUGCUUGCUUUGUACCCUUGGACUAAUAUCCCCUUACUCUUGUCCUCCCCUCAGACUCUGGUAACUACCAUUUUGUUCUCUGCUUCUAUGAGUUCAAUUUUUUUUUUAAUUUUUUUUUUAAUUCCACAUAUAAGUGAGAUUGUACAGUAUUUGCAUUUUUCUGUCUGGCUUAUCUAAUUUAGCAUAAUGUCCUCAAGUUUCAUCUGUGUUGCACAAAUGGCAGGAUUUCCUUCUUUUUAAAGACUGAAUAAUAUUCCUUUAUAUUGUUAUACUCAUUAAAUUAACAUUUGUUAAACAGAGCCCUGGAGUAUUGAUAGUGAGCCGUGAUUCAACAAAUGGCUGCAAGAGAAUUUGAAGUAGAGCUUAUAACUCAUAGACUCUGCAGGAGAUACACAACAUGCCUCAAGGGGCCACAGUGGAGAGGCCAAGACAGGAUACAGGAAGAAAGAACUCAGCAGGGUCUGAGGUACAUGUCUUUAUUAGGAUCCAUGAAUGGAAUUCUUUGGGGCUCCUGAGCUCUAAGGCCAGAUUGGUCAGUUCAAACCCAAAGAGUUUUGUUAAGCUUCAGAGUGGUCUAUCUAAGGGGGACACAAGGGGAGACACUUGGAGGCAGAGAAAUCUGCAUGCAAUCUGUUAUCUAGCAUGGGAUGAACUAGUGUCAGUUCAAAGCCCCUGCAGGUUUCUUGGCCAUGCAAAAAUGGAUGCUGAGGCAGAAAUAUCCUGAAAUGAUUGUACUAAACUUUCCCUCUCUCCCUCUCUCCCUUUGUCUCUCUCUAUAUCUAUCUAUCUAUCUAUCUGUCUGUCUGUCUGUCUGUCUGUAUCUCUCUCUCUCUCCCUCCAUAUAUAUAUAUAUAUCACAUUUCCUAUUUCCUUUCAUCUGGCAACAGACAGUUUGUUGUUGUAUCUUGGCUACUGUGCAACUAAUGGUGCAAUGAAUAUAGGCAUGCAAAUAUCUCUUUGAGUGAUUUUCUUUCUUUUGGAUAUAUGACCAGAAGUGGGAUUGCUGGAUAUUGUAAUAACACACUUUCUGAUUUCAAAUUAUAUUAUUAUGCUAUAGUAAUCAAAAAUAUGAUACUGACAUAAAACAAAUGCAUAGACCAAUGUAAUAGAAUAGAGAGCCCAGAAAUAAACCCACACAUACAGAGUCAACUAAUUUUUGAUAAAGGCACCAAGAAUGCACAUGGGGAAAGAAUAGUUUAUUUAAUUAACAAUGUUGGAGAAAUUGAAUAUCCGCAUGCAAAAGAAUGAAACUGGACCCUUAUUUUACACUGUAUAUAAAAAUAAACUCAGAAUAGAUCAAAUAAUUAAAUGUAAGACCUGAAACUAUAAAAAUCCUAGAAGAAAA